CUUCACCGAGCCGAGCAACAGCGGCACCGACCGGUCCUGCCCAUAGGUGGCCAGCAGCGCUUGCGCCUC
Non-coding RNA from Actinoplanes sp. N902-109, 69 nucleotides. It matches the Rfam family "ASpks TB sRNA". NCBI's taxonomy places the organism in Bacteria, Bacillati, Actinomycetota, Actinomycetes, Micromonosporales, Micromonosporaceae. The record is from Rfam.